AGAGCGAACGCUGGCGGCAUGCUUAACACAUGCAAGUCGCACGGGCAGCAAUGUCAGUGGCGGACGGGUGAGUAACGCGUAGGCAUCUAUCCUUGGGUGGGGGACAACGGCUGGAAACGGCUGCUAAUACCGCAUGAUAACUGAGGUUUAAAGGCGCAAGUCGCCUGGGGAGGAGCCUGCGUACGAUUAGCUAGUUGGUGGGGUAAAGGCCUACCAAGGCAACGAUCGUUAGCUGGUCUGAGAGGAUGAUCAGCCACAUUGGGACUGAGACACGGCCCAAACUCCUACGGGAGGCAGCAGUGGGGAAUAUUGGACAAUGGGCGAAAGCCUGAUCCAGCAAUGCCGCGUGUGUGAAGAAGGUCUUCGGAUUGUAAAGCACUUUCGACAGGGACGAUGAUGACGGUACCUGUAGAAGAAGCCCGGCUAACUUCGCGCCAGCAGCCGC
Molecule: ribosomal RNA, 445 nt
Filed under: uncultured bacterium
Lineage: Bacteria
Description: SSU rRNA
Rfam family: Bacterial small subunit ribosomal RNA
Source: RNAcentral